GACGAACGCUGGCGGCGUGCCUAAUACAUGCAAGUCGAGCGGACAGAAGGGAGCUUGCUCCCGGAUGUUAGCGGCGGACGGGUGAGUAACACGUGGGUAACCUGCCUGUAAGACUGGGAUAACUCCGGGAAACCGGAGCUAAUACCGGAUAGUUCCUUGAACCGCAUGGUUCAAGGAUGAAAGACGGUUUCGGCUGUCACUUACAGAUGGACCCGCGGCGCAUUAGCUAGUUGGUGAGGUAACGGCUCACCAAGGCGACGAUGCGUAGCCGACCUGAGAGGGUGAUCGGCCACACUGGGACUGAGACACGGCCCAGACUCCUACGGGAGGCAGCAGUAGGGAAUCUUCCGCAAUGGACGAAAGUCUGACGGAGCAACGCCGCGUGAGUGAUGAAGGUUUUCGGAUCGUAAAGCUCUGUUGUUAGGGAAGAACAAGUGCAAGAGUAACUGCUUGCACCUUGACGGUACCUAACCAGAAAGCCACGGCUAACUACGUGCCAGCAGCCGCGGUAAUACGUAGGUGGCAAGCGUUGUCCGGAAUUAUUGGGCGUAAAGGGCUCGCAGGCGGUUUCUUAAGUCUGAUGUGAAAGCCCCCGGCUCAACCGGGGAGGGUCAUUGGAAACUGGGAAACUUGAGUGCAGAAGAGGAGAGUGGAAUUCCACGUGUAGCGGUGAAAUGCGUAGAGAUGUGGAGGAACACCAGUGGCGAAGGCGACUCUCUGGUCUGUAACUGACGCUGAGGAGCGAAAGCGUGGGGAGCGAACAGGAUUAGAUACCCUGGUAGUCCACGCCGUAAACGAUGAGUGCUAAGUGUUAGGGGGUUUCCGCCCCUUAGUGCUGCAGCUAACGCAUUAAGCACUCCGCCUGGGGAGUACGGUCGCAAGACUG
RNAcentral lists this ribosomal RNA (886 nucleotides) under Bacillus pumilus. RNAcentral's name for it is "bacterial SSU rRNA". It matches the Rfam family "Bacterial small subunit ribosomal RNA", at positions 28 to 896 of the family's 1533-position model. The record is from RNAcentral. RNAcentral also lists the same sequence under 1 other name. Lineage: Bacteria; Bacillati; Bacillota; Bacilli; Caryophanales; Bacillaceae.